AGGACGAACGCUGGCGGCGUGCUUAACACAUGCAAGUCGAGCGGAAAGGCCCUUCGGGGUACUCGAGCGGCGAACGGGUGAGUAACACGUGAGUAACCUGCCCCUAGCUCUGGGAUAGCUCCGGGAAACCGGGAUUAAUACCAGAUACGACCACUUUAGACAUCUGUCGUGGUGGAAAGGAUUCCGGCUAGGGAUGGGCUCGCGGCCUAUCAGCUUGUUGGUGGGGUAACGGCCUACCAAGGCGACGACGGGUAGCCGGCCUGAGAGGGCGACCGGCCACACUGGGACUGAGACACGGCCCAGACUCCUACGGGAGGCAGCAGUGGGGAAUAUUGCGCAAUGGGCGAAAGCCUGACGCAGCGACGCCGCGUGGGGGAUGAAGGCCUUCGGGUUCGUAAACCCCUUUCAGCAGGGACGAAGCGAAAGUGACGGUACCUGCAGAAGAAGCGCCGGCUAACUACGCGCCAGCAGCCGC
RNAcentral lists this ribosomal RNA (475 nucleotides) under uncultured bacterium. Its description in RNAcentral is "SSU rRNA". It matches the Rfam family "Bacterial small subunit ribosomal RNA", at positions 26 to 518 of the family's 1533-position model. The record is from RNAcentral.